UGGGGAAUUUUGGACAAUGGGCGAAAGCCUGAUCCAGCAAUGCCGCGUGUGUGAAGAAGGCCUUCGGGUUGUAAAGCACUUUUGUCCGGAAAGAAAUCCUUGGCUCUAAUACAGUCGGGGGAUGACGGUACCGGAAGAAUAAGCACCGGCUAACUACGUGCCAGCAGCCGCGGUAAUACGUAGGGUGCAAGCGUUAAUCGGAAUUACUGGGCGUAAAGCGUGCGCAGGCGGUUUGCUAAGACCGAUGUGAAAUCCCCGGGCUCAACCUGGGAACUGCAUUGGUGACUGGCAGGCUAGAGUAUGGCAGAGGGGGGUAGAAUUCCACGUGUAGCAGUGAAAUGCGUAGAGAUGUGGAGGAAUACCGAUGGCGAAGGCAGCCCCCUGGGCCAAUACUGACGCUCAUGCACGAAAGCGUGGGGAGCAAACAGGAUUAGAUACCCUGGUAGUCCACGCCCUAAACGAUGUCAACUAGUUGUUGGGGAUUCAUUUCCUUAGUAACGUAGCUAACGCGUGAAGUUGACCGCCUGGGGGAGUACGGUCGCAAGAUUAAAACUUAAAUGAAUUGACGGGGUCAUAGCUGUUU
Molecule: ribosomal RNA, 583 nt
Filed under: uncultured bacterium
Lineage: Bacteria
Description: partial 16S ribosomal RNA
Rfam family: Bacterial small subunit ribosomal RNA
Source: RNAcentral